Thermus brockianus is the source of this 74-nucleotide non-coding RNA. The record is from Rfam. NCBI's taxonomy places the organism in Bacteria, Thermotogati, Deinococcota, Deinococci, Thermales, Thermaceae.
CGCGGGGUGGAGCAGCCUGGUAGCUCGUCGGGCUCAUAACCCGAAGGUCGCGGGUUCAAAUCCCGCCCCCGCAA